GAAGAGAAGAAGAAAAGAAAAGAAAAGAAAAAGCUGUCUCUGCUGUACAAGGACCACAGAUACAGGUACUGGACACAUCAGCCGCAUUUCACCUCUGUUGAGAUGAGAGGCCUGAGUUCUUGCUGCCUGGGUGCUGUUCCCAGGCCGUUGCUCCUUCUUGGGUCUCAGGACUCCAAGUUCCCCCAAGCCACAGAUUGCCCAUCCUAGUCAAGCACCUGGCGCAUAGGAAGCCUUCGAAAAAGGCUGAACAAAUCAGAGACUGGGCCAGCCCUGGGACUGCAGCCAAACCCCAGUCCUGGGAGCCAUGCCUCACUGACGCCGACCCAGUUGUUGGG
This is a non-coding RNA of Vicugna pacos (alpaca), 335 nucleotides long. The record is from RefSeq and is a predicted model, not a curated record. NCBI's taxonomy places the organism in Eukaryota, Metazoa, Chordata, Mammalia, Artiodactyla, Camelidae.